UGUUGGUGUUAGUGAGUGCUGGUGAUGGUUAUGAUGUUGGUGUUGGUGAUGCUGAAGGUGUUGGUGAUGCUGAAGGUGUUGAUGUUGGUGUUGGUGAUAGUGCUGGUGAUGGUCAUGAUGUUGGUGUUGGUGAUGCUGAAGGUGUUGAUGUUGGUGUUAGUGAGUGCUUGUGAUGGUCAUGAUGUUGGUGUUGGUGAUGCUGAAGGUGUUGGUGUUGGUGAUGCUGAAGGUGUUGAUGUUGGUGUUGGUGAUAGUGCUGGUGAUGGUGCUGAUGUUGGUGAUAGUGCUGGUGAUGGUCAUGAUGUUGGUAUUGGUGAUGCUGAAGGUGUUGAUGUUGGUGUUGGUGAUAGUGCUGGUGAUGGUCAUGAUGUUGGUAUUGGUGAUGCUGAAGGUGUUGAUGUUGGUGUUGGUGAUAGUGCUGGUGAUGGUCAUGAUGUUGGUGUUGGUGAUGCUGAAGGUGUUGA
Long non-coding RNA from Ictalurus punctatus (channel catfish), 464 nucleotides. The record is from Ensembl. Lineage: Eukaryota; Metazoa; Chordata; Actinopteri; Siluriformes; Ictaluridae.